This is a long non-coding RNA of Ostrea edulis (European flat oyster), 895 nucleotides long. RefSeq lists it as uncharacterized. NCBI's taxonomy places the organism in Eukaryota, Metazoa, Mollusca, Bivalvia, Ostreida, Ostreidae. The record is from RefSeq and is a predicted model, not a curated record. The transcript is spliced from 5 exons.
UUUGUAGCCUGGUUCCCGAGGCCUUCCGAUGUGCAAGCACGAAGGCCAGGCACUCACUGUCGAAUGGAUUCUUCCACUGAUCAAAAUCCAAUAUGGCGGACUCAAUGAUAAUUUUCCAUACAUAUGGAAAGAAGAAACAUAUGAUAGUGGGUGAAAAAACACCCUCAUAUAUAAUGCUUCAUGAAUAUGCAAAACCAUGCCAACAGUCUACAGACUCCAGAUGGAAAGAGAUGGAGAAAGAAUUUCUAAAGGGGUAUUCAAGGACCCAUCCUCCUCCACACUAAUUCAUAUUGGAAGGAAUUGACAUCCAACUUGAAUAAAGAAUUACAGACUUCCAGAACAGGUGCAUCGUGGAGAUCCUUUUAAAAAGGAGAGGCCAGAUCUUCAGAUGACUUUAUUGAAAAUGAGAAAUUUCUGAGUGGAAGUGACGAAUGUGGCAUGCAUACAAGCAGACAUCAGCAUUCCCUCCCUCUUGUUUGUAUCAGAGGUGAGCUUUUUGAGCAAGACUCAUGGAGGAAGUUUGAGAGUGUCAGUUCUCAGAUCAAAAAGUUAGCUAGCAGUAGGAGGAGUAGCAAUUCAUUCCACAGUAUGACAUGAGAAAUACGUGACUAGAAAGACCUUAAAAAGGAGAUUUGGCAUUGUUUCAUGUGGAGAUUAAAGAACCUUCGAAAUAUAUAACACAGACAUGUUUCAGUUACUUGGGGAUAACACUUAUGAGGAAUUUUGCUAACUUUCAGAUUGGAAUGUGUUGCACAAGAAAUGCUUGAUCACAACCCUCUUCUGUUAAAAACCUUUUCUAUGCAAUUAAUUAGUGUAAAUGAAAUUUAGCUAUUUCAUUAGUAAACAUGUUUUCUGCGCAAGUGUGUGUCUUUGACAUUAAAUGCUAUGAUAUUGU